RNAcentral lists this transfer RNA (72 nucleotides) under Nicotiana sylvestris (wood tobacco). It matches the Rfam family "tRNA". From Rfam's summary of the family: Transfer RNA (tRNA) molecules are approximately 80 nucleotides in length. The record is from Rfam by way of RNAcentral. Lineage: Eukaryota; Viridiplantae; Streptophyta; Magnoliopsida; Solanales; Solanaceae.
UACCCCAUAGUCUAGUGGUUAGGACACCUCUCUUUAAAGGAGGUGGCGGGAAUUCGAAUUCCCCUGGGGUAU